AGUGGUGUACAACCGUUUUGCCCCUCACUGGUCUGUCACGCCAGAAGUCGCGGGUUCGAACCCCGUUUUCCCCG
Molecule: transfer RNA, 74 nt
Filed under: Picea smithiana
Lineage: Eukaryota; Viridiplantae; Streptophyta; Pinopsida; Pinales; Pinaceae
Description: tRNA-Asp
Source: RNAcentral